Small nucleolar RNA from Delphinapterus leucas (beluga whale), 131 nucleotides. Ensembl annotates it as small nucleolar RNA SNORA51. The record is from Ensembl. NCBI's taxonomy places the organism in Eukaryota, Metazoa, Chordata, Mammalia, Artiodactyla, Monodontidae.
GGCUUCUUAGUGCUUACACAGGCUGUUUGCUUAUAAUAACUGUACAGAAUGAGGAGGCAGAAUAAAUCUAUUCUAUGUACACCUCAGCCCAGGUCCUUUGCCUAGUCUGUAUUAUGAAUAGGGGGACAUGG